UGGCGGACGGGUGAGUAAUGUCUGGGAAACUGCCCGAUGGAGGGGGAUAACUACUGGAAACGGUAGCUAAUACCGCAUAACGUCGCAAGACCAAAGAGGGGGACCUUCGGGCCUCUUGCCAUCGGAUGUGCCCAGAUGGGAUUAGCUAGUAGGUGGGGUAACGGCUCACCUAGGCGACGAUCCCUAGUUGGUCUGAGAGGAUGACCAGCCACACUGGAACUGAGACACGGUCCAG
RNAcentral lists this ribosomal RNA (235 nucleotides) under uncultured bacterium. RNAcentral's name for it is "partial 16S ribosomal RNA". It matches the Rfam family "Bacterial small subunit ribosomal RNA", at positions 96 to 334 of the family's 1533-position model. The record is from RNAcentral.